RNAcentral lists this ribosomal RNA (253 nucleotides) under uncultured bacterium. RNAcentral's name for it is "partial 16S ribosomal RNA". It matches the Rfam family "Bacterial small subunit ribosomal RNA", at positions 524 to 776 of the family's 1533-position model. The record is from RNAcentral.
GACGGAGGGUGCUAGCGUUGUUCGGAAUUACUGGGCGUAAAGGGCUCGUAGGCGGCCAACUAAGUCGGACGUGAAAUCCCCAGGCUCAACCUGGGAACUGCGUCCGAUACUGGAUGGCUUGAAUCCGGGAGAGGGAUGCAGAAUUCCAGGUGUAGCGGUGAAAUGCGUAGAUAUCUGGAGGAACACCUAUGGCGAAGGCAGCUCGCUGGGACGGUACUGACGCUGAGGCGCGAAAGCGUGGGGAGCGAACAGG